Molecule: small RNA, 175 nt
Filed under: Listeria fleischmannii
Lineage: Bacteria; Bacillati; Bacillota; Bacilli; Caryophanales; Listeriaceae
Description: Magnesium sequence
Rfam family: M-box riboswitch aptamer (ykoK leader)
About the family: M-box riboswitch, also know as ykoK leader is described as a metaloregulatory RNA that sense divalent metals and function as a genetic control element of genes related to divalent metal transport in bacteria. It was first reported upstream of the B.subtilis ykoK gene and genes with related functions in other bacteria.
Source: RNAcentral
GAAUAAAUCUGUAAGGUGAGGCUCCUAUACAAACAUAGGCCACUGCCCAAAAACGUCCAAAGACGCCAAUGGGUAGAACAGGGAUUGUCGGAUUAAGGCUUUCCAUAAUGUGGCUAAGAAAUGAUUUUUUUCUUUACGUUGCACAGUGCCAAAACUUUUGCGAGGGGAAAGCAUA